UACGUAGGGGGCUAGCGUUGUCCGGAAUCAUUGGGCGUAAAGCGCGCGUAGGCGGCCCGGUAAGUCCGCUGUGAAAGUCAAAGGCUCAACCUUUGAAUGUCAGCGGAUACUGCCGGGCUAGAGUCCGGAAGAGGCGAGUGGGAACUCCUGGUGUAGCGGUGGAAUGCGCAGAUAUCAGGAAGAACACCAACGGCGAAGGCAGCUCGCCUGGGACGGAACUGACGCUAAGGCGCGAAAGCGUGGGGAGCAAACAGG
This 255-nucleotide ribosomal RNA is filed under the name uncultured bacterium. RNAcentral describes it as "partial 16S ribosomal RNA". It matches the Rfam family "Bacterial small subunit ribosomal RNA", at positions 524 to 776 of the family's 1533-position model. The record is from RNAcentral.